CCCAAACGUGACGCUGCGCGCAGUCAUAAGUAUAGCGUGGCAACGUCACAGACAUGGGCUAGAUGAAUACAUACCAUCAGCUGAUCAGCACACUCCCCCCUAAUUAGCCCUCGUGAUUGGUAGUGUCACGAGCGCAAUAAAAAAUAAGCAUAGAGCCAGGUAUAUUUACUGCAGCAAGCACUUUACCAAUUGAGAAAGCCGUCUGUAUACAGCAAAAUGCGUUUCAGGAUAAACAGAUCACCAGGACUUUUUUUUAU
Pelobates cultripes (western spadefoot toad) is the source of this 257-nucleotide non-coding RNA. NCBI's taxonomy places the organism in Eukaryota, Metazoa, Chordata, Amphibia, Anura, Pelobatidae. The record is from the annotation of a GenBank genome assembly.